CUUUUGGGCACAAGGGGUGUGUGAGUUGCGUGUGUCAACACUGGGUUAAAGUGCUAACUGUGGGGGCUCCACCCAGAUGGAGGAGGAGAGAAUGCCUCCUGCUCUAGGCGGGUUGAGAGCCUAGGCAGCUUUGUCCUGCUGACUGCCAAAGAGGAAGGAAGGUGCUAGUCCUGCAGAGGUUUACGGAACGGAUUGCCGCAGAAAUGUAGAGGACUGAAUUUAACAUGAGAAAAAUGAGAAACUGAGAGAACCGAAAUUGAGAGAUCUUCCCAUCCCCAAUGGAGUCAGACCAUUGGUCCAUCUAGCUCAGUAUUGUCGACACUGACCAGCAGCAACUUUUCAGAGUUCUUUCCUAGUCCUACCUGAAGACGCCAGGGAUUGAACCUGGGACCUUCUAGAGGCCAAACAGGUGCUCUGCCACUGAGUUAAGGAUGCUGUUAAUGAACCCCGGGACCUGCCUUAUGCCCAGUCAGCUCACUGGUCCAUCUAGCUCAGUUUUGUCUACGCUGACUGGCAGUGGCUUUCCAGACUUUCAGCCAGGGACAUUUCCAGCCCUACUUGGUGACAGAGGGGAUUGAACCCGUGGCUUUCUGCAUGCCAAGCAGGUGCUCUGCCACUGCACCACGGCCCUUCGAUGCCUGUGGAGUUCCCCUUUUUCCUGCCAGCGCAGCUGCGUGCCUGAACCAAGGCGAAUUCUGUGAGUCUCGAAUGAAUCACUGGGCACCCUUGUCCCACCUCCUGUCAUCCCACGGUGCAGCCUGUUUGGGGAGAAAAAAGGGUGGAGCUGGAAAAUAUCGCCCCAUCGCCGUGCAAUGAUUGAUGCCAGGAAGAUGAAUACGGCUGGUGGAGUGGGGGGAGUGUCAACCGAUCAUACUUUCUCCACCAACCCCAGUCUUCCCUCAGACAGCCCCCACCUGCUCCAGGUCCUUCGAUCUGGCCUUUGGAGGCCACACCCCUCACUGGCCCUUGCUUCGUACCCUGAGUGGUUUUUGCCUGGCUAGGACACAUCUUCGAAUUCUGAUCCAGCCCCUUGCAAUUUGGAUGGAGAAGGGUGUGCGAGUGUGUGCAGAAUCCACCCCUACUGCGCCAAGGGCUUUUAUCAUCAAGAAAGGAGGGCGCGACGGACAGAGCAAGGUUCUCUCCUCUAGCCCAGCGCCGCCGAGCCGUUUUCUGUGAGUGUUUCUCUGGCAGUGUCUUAGCUGGUUGUUGUGCGGCGCAAUCGAGGAAGCAAUCAGCGAGAAUACUGCUGCAGAAAUGCUGCAUGCUGAGCAUCGCCUUCUCCGGAGCCAAAGCAAAAGGAAUCCGGCUCUUCCCGGGAAUGAGAUGGGCCUCUGCUAUCGUCCUGCACUGGUUCUGGACACUUCUAGGAAACCAGGAGGACUUUGCAAGCUGCUGAAAGCCCCUGACUUCAAGGAGAGGAGGGUGAUGUUGAGACUGCUUGCUUGCUUUUGUGCGGUUCCCCUUUGUUUCCACGCCAGGAAAAGCUUCGGCGGCAAAAUCUCUGCAGAUUAGGCAGCAACAGCAGAGGAGUGUCCACAGGGCGUAACAACAGGAGGGAUGGUGAGUUGUGGACAGGUAGGUAGGGUUAGCAUAGUGCAUGGGGAGCUCUCUUAUGCUGAGUCAGACCGUUGGUCCACCCAGCUCAGUAUUGUCAACACUGACUGGCAGCAAGUCUUCCAGCCCUACUUGCAGAUACCAUUAGGUAGAUGCUCUACCAAUGAGCCGGGGCCCUUUGCUUAAGACAUAGGAACAUAGAAAGCUGCUUUGUACUGAGACAGGCCCUUGAUCCAACUAGCUCAUUAUUCUUUACCGUCAGCCUUGUUGGAGGGGAGAGACUUGCGCAUUCUUUAUUCCCAACGCAUCUGCCCAUGUCAGUCGGGUGAGGCUGAAUCAAUCACUCAUGGCCUGUUACACUGUACAUAUUAUGAGGACAUUCGUUCCUUUUAUAUUGCUCCAGUUUUAAAACAUUUGUCAGGUAGAUCUUACACAUUUUAGACCUCCUUCUCUCAGAUUUGAGAAAUGAAAUAAUGUUUCAAGGGGCAAAAUUUUGUGUCUUAGCAUGUACCGUAAGGAAACAGAUGGUUAAUGCAUCUUAACUUUAGUAUACUAGAUUUUAUUUUAUUGAAGUUUGUUUAUAUACAAGCUGUAUAAUUCACUCUAUUUGUUCAUAUGCAAUUCUUCUACCUUUCUGCAUUUAAAUACUUGUAUUUGUAUGGCUGGUCAUUGACCAGGAGUUUUUCCUGGCCUACCUAGAGAUGUCAGGGAUUGAACUAGAGACCUUCUGCAUCCAAAACUGACGCUCUAUCGUUGAGUGAUGGCCCCUCUCCAAUUGGAUCGCCACCUUUUUUUUUUGUCCCAGCUCCUGUGCGUUGUAACAGGAGCCUGAACCAAAGGCACUGAGCUGGAGGAAGCUUUACCGCUCCCUUGUCUGUCUGCCAGUAGAAAAAAAAGCUUCUGCAGGUCAGAUUUGACACUAAAGGCAUAGGAGCAAGGCCAAGGGAGGAAAGUUGGCAACCUUAGCCCUGCUUCUAGGUGAGAGGGAACAGCCCCAGAAUCUAUGUUUAUGACAGACUCACCACUUGCAGUGUUGGGGUGUGCAUGCUAUAUAUUUACACUUUGGGCUGUAACGUGAUAGAAAGUUCCAACAGCCACUUAAGUGAUUGACUUAAUGAACUAAUUAAAAGCCUCAUAGUUACAGUAGGUCAAUACCAGUGAUACCUUGAGCAUAUUUAAUGAAGAUAAGAGGGAGCCUCUCUCAACCAAACCACACAAACGAGCCAAAACAACUUUGCAGUGGUGUUCCCAGAGUUACAAGGUGGGCACUCAAAAUGGGCAUAUCCAAGUUCAACUCAGUUCCACAAAGACCCAGAUUUCAAUUUCUGAAACAAAAGGCGGCUGGGAAAAAGCCUGCCCAGAGGUUAUUCUGUAGCCCCUUUUCUAGUUCCCAUUUGUGAUGACCCAGUGAUAUAUAUAUAUAAAACUUUUCAUAUGCUCAGGGGUGCUGGGAAUUGUAGGUCUGUGAGGGGUAAACUAUAGUUCUUAGAAUUCGUGGGGGGGGAGGAUGUGCUUUUAAUGGGCUUUAAACGACUGGUGAGUAUGUAGCCCCAAAACCUUCAAUAAUAAGCUGAGUCUGGGCACUAAAAGCUCUCUCUAGAACCAACUCCUGUGAAAUAUGGUGCAGCUUGACGCCCUGCAACGGGCAGCUCUGGUGAGUACUUAACCGGGGGCCAGUUUUCCAGGCUGCCUCGGGUAUCUGCAUGAAUUUGUAAUGUGUGGAUGCAAGAAAACGUGUGUCUUGUCCAAGAAUGUUUUCAGGAAGUGAAGGAUUGGGUGUGUCUAAUGGGCGAGGAGACAUAACAAAAUCCCUGAGAGUUCAGCAGCCACAGAUUCUCAACAAGUGUAUCUUGCCAAUCAUAAGGUCUAGAAACUUGUUUUUGUUUCUGACUGGCCACACCCACCACUAGCACGUGGGCCCUGGAACGUGGCAUUACAAGGGAAUGUGGCCCUCUGACAGAAAAGCAGGCCCGGCACUAGUGGGCAGCCAAGUUGGGCACUGGCUGGGGGCCCCUGUGGUUAGCUCCUGCUCUGCGAUCCACGCUAGUGUCAGGUUACAGAGCAUGUGUCCCACUCCUAAUGCUGGUGUGGACUGCAGAGUGAGAGCCACUCUCCCAGGCAACACCCCCACUCACACCGCCAGCUAGCCGCACCACUUCCUGCGUCACCACAUCAUUGCGCUGCAUGCACAUACUUGCCAUCACCCAAGAUGGCAGCAGGGGCAUCAAUACACUCCCACUGCCUUCUUGGGUGAUGGCAGGGGUGUGUGCAUAGCAUGCUACUUCACUGACGUGGCCGCGCCUAUCUAAGCCUUGCCCCAGUGGCGUCGGCAGUGCUGCGGCGUUGCCACCGCCUUCAAGGGCCCACUGCAGUCUGGUGCCAGCCCUGCUGAAAAGGAUUUCCCACCUCUGAGCUAAAGGUUGGGCGUUACUUUAGACAUUCAUAUUUUUAAUCUAGGACAAAUGAAUGAAUGAUCUGAGUUCUACAUUCUUAUUUUUUUUGUCGUCUUUCCAAAGUGAAGUCCGCU
This is a long non-coding RNA of Rhineura floridana, 4081 nucleotides long. RefSeq lists it as uncharacterized. The record is from RefSeq and is a predicted model, not a curated record. Lineage: Eukaryota; Metazoa; Chordata; Lepidosauria; Squamata; Rhineuridae. The transcript is spliced from 3 exons.